CCCCUAGAUGUUCUGGGCCGCACGCGCGCUACACUGGUCGAUGCAACGAGUUUCUUUCCUUGGCCGACAGGCCUGGGCAAUCUUUGAACAUCGAUCGUGAUCGGGAUAGAUUCUUGUAAUUUUUGAUCUUAAACGAGGAAUUCCUAGUAAACGCAAGUCAUCAGCUUGCAUUGAUUACGUCCCUGCCCUUUGUACACACCGCCCGUCGCACCUACCGAUUGAAUGGUCCGGUGAAAUCUCCGGACUGGCGUGAGUCGGAGCAAUCUGACAAACGCCGGAAAGUUGAUUAAACCUUACCAUUUAGAGGAAGGUGAANUCGUAACA
RNAcentral lists this ribosomal RNA (324 nucleotides) under uncultured eukaryote. RNAcentral describes it as "partial 18S ribosomal RNA". It matches the Rfam family "Eukaryotic small subunit ribosomal RNA", at positions 1470 to 1796 of the family's 1831-position model. The record is from RNAcentral.